AACAUCGCCCUUCGUAUAAUUUUAUGAGGGGUUGGACCUGCCCGGUGAUUGGUCAAAUUUUGAAGUUAUUAAAUUAAUUAGAGAUUUUUUUAAACGGCUGCAAUUAGUAGUUGUGCUAAGGUAGCGUAAUCAUUUGCCCCUUAAUUAGGGGAAGGUAUGAAUGGUUUGACGUGGGAAAAGCUGUCUCUUUUAUAUAAAAGGAAGUUUAUUUUUGAGUGAAAAAGCUUAGAUGUUUAUAAAAGACGAGAAGACCCUAUCGAACUUGAAUUAUGUAUUAUAGAUUUAUAAUAUAGAAAGUUUAGUUGGGGAAACUUAAAGUUAAGAAAAACGCUUUUUUGUUGUAAAAUGAUCC
Molecule: ribosomal RNA, 352 nt
Filed under: Pisidium sp. TS-2022_L3
Lineage: Eukaryota; Metazoa; Mollusca; Bivalvia; Venerida; Sphaeriidae
Description: partial 16S rRNA
Source: RNAcentral